UGAGUGGGUAAUACCCUCAUUAAUGAUAAUAUCUGAUGGAACAUCGUCCAUAAUCUGUAGAGAAGUGUGAGCAGAUGACGAACCUGCUAGUGUAGAAGCUAAAGUAGAUUUGGCAUCCGAAGAUGAAUGGCAGAAAAUAGUAGAGCUAUCCUUUUGAGAAGUAGCUACCCGAAGAGACAAAAAACCUGCUGAUGGAGAUAAAGUCGACUGAGAGUUGGAGCAUGUGGCUAUUGUUACCGAAGAGUGUGUGGGGCAGCUUGGCGGCAUUAAAUGAUCAUUUGGCUCAACACCAGCUUGUGUUUCCGUUUCUGAGUUUUCAACUUGUACCAUCUUUUCAUCUGAUACAA
Molecule: long non-coding RNA, 347 nt
Filed under: Brassica napus (rape)
Lineage: Eukaryota; Viridiplantae; Streptophyta; Magnoliopsida; Brassicales; Brassicaceae
Description: long non-coding RNA (BNAP_LNC003256)
Source: RNAcentral